This 474-nucleotide long non-coding RNA is filed under the name Cricetulus griseus (Chinese hamster). RNAcentral's name for it is "lncRNA (ENSCGRG00015037378.1)". The record is from RNAcentral. Lineage: Eukaryota; Metazoa; Chordata; Mammalia; Rodentia; Cricetidae.
AUUUCUUCUCCUCUUAAACAUGCUGAUGUUUGUGCCACAUCCUCUGAGUACCCUCUGUAGGUGAAGACAGAUUACAGAGGGGAGCAGAACACAACCUUCAGAUACAGGUCUCCAUGGGAGCCAUAUGAAGACUCAAGGAACAUCAGCUGUCUGAGAUGACCACUUGCUUCUCUGCUUUUUAUUUCCUGUGACCACUUUCACAGCUGUGGAUUCUGUUUUGCAUUCUAGCUUAGCUUCAGGUUCACUUGUGAAGUCACCGGCAUAAAGAUCUGCUGGCCUCUGUCUCCUGGGUACUGGGGUUAAAGUUCUACAAGAAAGCAAGCUGAGCAAGCCAUGAAGAGCAAGGCCGUAUGCAGCACCCCUCCAUGGCCUCUGCAUCAGCUCCUACCUCCCUGCUUGAGUUUUGGCCCUGACUUUCUUCAAUAAUGAACAGCAAUGUGGAAGUGGAAGCCAAAUAAACCAUUUCCUCCCCAA